Molecule: ribosomal RNA, 465 nt
Filed under: Vreelandella stevensii
Lineage: Bacteria; Pseudomonadati; Pseudomonadota; Gammaproteobacteria; Oceanospirillales; Halomonadaceae
Description: partial 16S ribosomal RNA
Rfam family: Bacterial small subunit ribosomal RNA
Source: RNAcentral
CCUACGGGAGGCUGCAGUGGGGAAUAUUGGACAAUGGGCGAAAGCCUGAUCCAGCCAUGCCGCGUGUGUGAAGAAGGCCUUCGGGUUGUAAAGCACUUUCAGUGGGGAAGAAAGCCUUGGGGCUAAUACCCUCGAGGAAGGACAUCACCCACAGAAGAAGCACCGGCUAACUCCGUGCCAGCAGCCGCGGUAAUACGGAGGGUGCGAGCGUUAAUCGGAAUUACUGGGCGUAAAGCGCGCGUAGGCGGUCUGAUAAGCCGGUUGUGAAAGCCCCGGGCUCAACCUGGGAACGGCAUUCGGAACUGUCAGGCUAGAGUGCAGGAGAGGAAGGUAGAAUUCCCGGUGUAGCGGUGAAAUGCGUAGAGAUCGGGAGGAAUACCAGUGGCGAAGGCGGCCUUCUGGACUGACACUGACGCUGAGGUGCGAAAGCGUGGGUAGCAAACAGGAUUAGAUACCCCGGUAGUC